This 628-nucleotide long non-coding RNA is filed under the name Heterocephalus glaber (naked mole-rat). Its description in RNAcentral is "lncRNA (ENSHGLG00000030566.2)". Lineage: Eukaryota; Metazoa; Chordata; Mammalia; Rodentia; Bathyergidae. The record is from RNAcentral.
UUUGUGGUAUGAAACCCCCAAAAUCCCCUCUUUUUUUGGAAAUGCAGAGAGAAGAGAGAAAAACCAGGACAGUGCCAAGAGUUAGUGAGGAUGAGGAGCAACUGCAAUCGCACAUAUAUUGCUGGUGGAAAUGCAAAAGGAUGUAGUAGUCACUUUGAAAAAGAGUUUGCCUAAGACUUACCACGUGACCCUUCAGUCCCACUUCUAGACAUUUCUCCAUGAGAAAUGGAGAAUUUUGGUGGGUCAAGAGCCCCAAACUCACAAAAAAAUAACUGGAUCUAAAACAUGAGAGCAUAUUGAGCACCUACUCUUCAUGAGCACCUACUCUUUACUCAAGAUUCAAAUAUAAAGAAAGACAACCCUUCCUCUCCUGGCGAUCUUUGGAGGCUGUAUUAAACAAUAGCCUGCCGCCUGGAGUGGACCAGCUGCCAUCUUGAAUCAUGAAGCUGGGACCUUGGACAGCAGAGCAAGAAGACAGAAGAGACCUGGAUCUCUGGUUAUGGAGAACCAGACAGUCCUGGAUCUUAUACGUGGAUACAUAUAUACAUUAACUUUUGUACUUUUAAAGACACUGUGAUUUAGGUUUUUUUCCUGGUAUUUAUAAACUGAAUCUAAGCAUGCAGAGGAG